RNAcentral lists this ribosomal RNA (254 nucleotides) under uncultured bacterium. RNAcentral describes it as "partial 16S ribosomal RNA". It matches the Rfam family "Bacterial small subunit ribosomal RNA", at positions 524 to 776 of the family's 1533-position model. The record is from RNAcentral.
UACGGAGGAUCCAAGCGUUAUCCGGAAUUACUGGGCGUAAAGAGUUGCUUAGGUGGCAGAGUAAGUAGAUAGUGAAAGCGUGUGGCUCAACCAUACAUCCAUUAUCUAAACUGCUCAGCUUGAGGAUGAGAGAGGUUAUUGGAAUUCCCAGUGUAGGAGUGAAAUCCGUAGAUAUUGGGAGGAACACCGAUGGCGUAGGCAGAUAACUGGCUCAUUUCUGACACUAAGGCACGAAAGCGUGGGGAGCAAACGGG